AAGUCGUAACAAGGUUUCCGUAGGUGAACCUGCGGAAGGAUCAUUAACACGUAUCCAAACGUAAAACCCCCCCGUGAACCUUCAUCCUGCUCUUGUAACCCGCGUAGUUCGCAAUCUCUGAUAAAGCAUAGCCCGGAAGGUUGUAGUGAUUCAGAGACCUCUGGCUACAUUGGAACAGUUACAAUCGAGCGGUGGUUCUAUAGGCAAUUAACAAUGGAUAUCUUGGUUCUC
This 231-nucleotide unclassified non-coding RNA is filed under the name fungal sp. RNAcentral describes it as "partial internal transcribed spacer region". The stretch from base 1 to 46 matches the Rfam family "Eukaryotic small subunit ribosomal RNA", at positions 1786 to 1831 of the family's 1831-position model. Lineage: Eukaryota; Fungi. The record is from RNAcentral.